UGUGUCUCUCGAAAGAUACUGUGUAACAUUAGCCAUGGAGAACUGCAAAUGUGUUACUACUGCUCUCAAUAACAUUUCUGCCCUGAAUCUAUCAGGCGCUAUCAACAAAGGUCAGUGGGGAAAAGUUGUGAUGGACUACUUUCUGGAGGACGAUCGUGCCAUGCUAACUCUAUCUGACUCUGAAAAUGAAUCAGACGAUGAGGAAAUCCCUGAUUUAGGUAAAAACGUUACAUGUCUUAACAAAAGAGUCCAAGUUAAAGCAUGUUGUAAACUUGCUAACGUUAGCGGAGGUUAGAUGGCUGGCUUGCUAACGUUACUCUAUGGAUUGGGAUUUUUGUUCAUUUUUUUAGCUAGCUAAUAUUACAUGUCUAAACAAAAGACUCCAAGGUAAAGCUUGCUGGUUACACCUGAAGCAUGAGGACUUGCUGCGAGUGGUUAACUUCAUCAACAACUAUGCAGAGGGUAAUGCAAUUGUAUUACCAGGAUGCCACCCAGGACACAAACACUUUGGUGGAAAGCUGCUGCCAUCCCAUGUGACAGAAGCAGUGGUGUGGCGUCUCUACAAGGAAUCGAUGACAACACUUGAGGUAUGUGUAGUCGGGCUGUCUUCCUUCAGGAAUCUGUGGAGAAAAUUGCUGCCCCACAUCUCAAGCACUAAGCCGAGGGCCGACCUGUGCUGGCAGUGCCAGAGGAACAACUAUCAGAUCUGCCAGAAGCUGUUAAGUCAGCCAAGCUGAAGAAGCAAGAGCAGCAUCUCCUGCUUGUUCAGAGUGAGCGGUCUGUCUACCAGAAGGUGGUUGCUGACUGCAAGACCAGCUGUCAAGACCUGCAGUUGUCUCUGUGGGCCCCUACUGAACCAGGAAGCAAAGACAUCAGGAUGAACAUAGCUUCUGCGUGUAAAUCAGCUAGAAAGAUGUGUCGGCAUCGAGUAAUUGUCUCUGGCCCCCUCCCAGUUAGGGGCAGUGAUGAGCUCUACAGCAGAGUCUCACAACUCAAUCGCUGGUUGAAAACUGUUUUCUGCCCCUCCCAAAAUAUAGAAUUUGUAGAUAAUUGGCCCUCUUUCUGGGACUCACCCACAAACAGGACCAAGCCUGACCUGUUGAGGAGUGACGGACUCCAUCCUAGCUGGAGGGGUGCUCUCAUCUUAUCUACCAACAUAGACAGGGCUCUAACUCCUCUAGCUCCACAAUGAAAUAGGGUGCAGGCCAGCCAGCAGGCUGUUAGCCAGCCUGCCAGCAUAGUGGAGUCUGCCACUAGCACAGUCCGUGUAGUCAGCUCAGCUAUCACCAUUGAGACCGUGUCUGUGCCUCGACCUAGGUUGGGCAAAACUAAACAUGGCGGUGUUCGCCUUAGCAAUCUCACUAGGAUAAAGACCACCUCCAUUCCUGUCAUUAUUGAAAGAUACCUCACAUCUCAAAAUAGGGCUACUUAAUGUUAGAUCCCUUACUUCAAAGGCAAUUAUAGUCACUGAACUAAUCACUGAUCAUAAUCUUGAUGUGAUUGGCCUGACUGAAACAUGGCUUAAGCCUGAUGAAUUUACUGUGUUAAAUGAGGCCUCACCUCCUGGCUACACUAGUGACCAUAUCCCCCGUGCAUCCCGCAAAGGCGGAGGUGUUGCUAACAUUUACGAUAGCAAAUUUCAAUUUACAACAAAAAAAAAUGAAGUUUUCGUCUUUUGAGCUUCUAGUCAUGAAAUCUAUGCAGCCUACUCAAUCACUUUUUAUAGCUACUGUUUACAGGCCUCCUGGGCCAUAUACAGCGUUCCUCACUGAGUUCCCUGAAUUCCUAUUGGACCUUGUAGUCAUAGCAGAUAAUAUUCGAAUCUUUGGUGACUUUAAUAUUCACAUGGAAAAGUCCACAGACCCACUCCAAAAGGCUUUCGGAGCCAUCAUCGACUCAGUGGGUUUUGUCCAACAUGUCUCUGGACCCACUCACUGUCACAGUCAUACGCUGGACCUAGUUUUGUCCUAUGGAAUAAAUGUUGUGGAUCUUAAUGUUUUUCCUCAUAAUCCUGGACUAUCGGACCACUAUUUUAUUACGUUUGCAAUUGCAACAAAUAAUCUGCUCCGACCCCAACCAAGGAACAUCAAAAGUCGUGCUAUAAAUUCACAGACAACACAAAGAUUCCUUGAUGUCCUUCCAGAUUCCCUCUGUCUACCCAAGGACGCCAGAGGACAAAAAUCAGUUAACCACCUAACUGAGGAACUCAAUUUAACCUUGCGCAAUACCCUAGAUGCAGUUGCACCCCUAAAAACUAAAAACAUUUCUCAUAAGAAACUAGCUCCCUGGUACACAGAAAAUACCCGAGCUCUGAAGCAAGCUUCCAGAAAAUUGGAACGGAAAUGGCGCCACACCAAACUGGAAGUCUUCCGACUAGCUUGGAAAGACAGUACCGUGCAGUACCGAAGAGCCCUUACUGCUGCUCGAUCAUCCUAUUUUUCUAACUUAAUUGAGGAAAAUAAGAACAAUCCGAAAUUCCUUUUUGAUACUGUCGCAAAGCUAACUAAAAAGCAGCAUUCCCCAAGAGAGGAUGACUUUCACUUUAGCAGUGAUAAAUUCAUGAACUUCUUUGAGGAAAAGAUUAUGAUUAUUAGAAAGCAAAUUACGGACUCCUCUUUAAAUCUGCGUAUUCCUUUAAAGCUCAGUUGUCCUGAGUCUGCACAACUCUGCCAGGACCUAGGAUCAAGAGAGACGCUCAAGUGUUUUAGUACUAUAUCUCUUGACACAAUGAUGAAAAUAAUCAUGGCCUCUAAACCUUCAAGCUGCAUACUGGACCCUAUUCCAACUAAACUACUGAAAGAGCUGCUUCCUGUGCUUGGCCCUCCUAUGUUGAACAUAAUAAACGGCUCUCUAUCCACCGGAUGUGUACCAAACUCACUAAAAGUGGCAGUAAUAAAGCCUCUCUUGAAAAAGCCAAACCUUGACCCAGAAAAUAUAAAAAACUAUCGGCCUAUAUCGAAUCUUCCAUUCCUCUCAAAUAUUUUAGAAAAGGCUGUUGCGCAGCAACUCACUGCCUUCCUGAAGACAAACCAUGUAUACGAAAUGCUUCAGUCUGGUUUUAGACCCCAUCAUAGCACUGAGACGGCACUUGUGAAGGUGGUAAAUUACAUUUUAAUGGCAUCGGACCGAGGCUCUGCAUCUGUCCUCGUGCUCCUAGACCUUAGUGCUGCUUUUGAUACCAUCGAUCACCACAUUCUUUUGGAGAGAUUGGAAACCCAAAUUGGUCUACAUGGACAAGUUCUGGCCUGGUUUAGAUCUUAUCUGUCGGAAAGAUAUCAGUUUGUCUCUGUGAAUGGUUUGUCCUCUGACAAAUCAACUGUAAAUUCUGGUGUUCCUCAAGGUUCCGUUUUAGGACCACUAUUGUUUUCACUAUAUAUUUUACCUCUCGGUGAUGUCAUUCGGAAACAUAAUGUUAACUUUCACUGCUAUGCGGAUGACACACAGCUGUACAUUUCAAUGAAACAUGGUGAAGCCCCAAAAUUGCCCUUGCUAGAAGCAUGUGUUUCAGACAUAAGGAAGUGGAUGGCUGCAAACUUUCUACUUUUAAACUCGGACAAAAUAGAGAUGCUUGUUCUAGGUCCCAAGAAACAAAGAGAUCUUCUGUUGAAUCUGACAAUUAAUCUUAAUGGUUGUACAGUCGUCUCAAAUAAAACUGUGAAGGACCUCUGCGUUACUCUGGACCCUGAUCUCUCUUUUGAAGAACAUAUCAAGACCAUUUCAAGGACAGCUUUUUUCCAUCUACGUAACAUUGCAAAAAUCAGAAACUUUCUGUCCAAAAAUGAUGCAGAAAAAUUAAUCCAUGCUUUUGUCACUUCUAGGUUAGACUACUGCAAUGCUCUACUUUCCGGCUACCCGGAUAAAGCACUAAAUAAACUUCAGUUAGUGCUAAAUACGGCUGCUAGAAUCCUGACUAGAACCAAAAAAUUUGAUCAUAUUACUCCAGUGCUAGCCUCUCUACACUGGCUUCCUGUCAAAGCAAGGGCUGAUUUCAAGGUUUUACUGCUAACCUACAAAGCAUUACAUGGGCUUGCUCCUACCUAUCUCUCUGAUUUGGUCCUGCCGUACAUACCUACACGUAUGCUACGGUCACAAGACGCAGGCCUAAAAAUACAGUGGGUGGUCCGCCCAGUUCUAACUAGGGUAUUUAGACACUGUUUUCCUACGGGUAAUGUAGGCCCAUGGGCAACUUGUCUGGUUAUCCCCUUUUCCCACCAACAAACAGCCAUACACCAUAACAAUACAAUGAUCACAGACAAUGUGACAUGUAGGUGCAUAAACAAAAGAGAGAUCUCCAGAAAGAACUGAUUGGGAUACUUUUAAACCAAGGGAAAGGGGAUGUGAUAGUGUAAGGGAAAAGGAGCAGGUGUCUCUUCUGAUUAGCGACUGAUUGGCGACCGAUUAGGGAAUGAUGAUUGCCACCUGUGAGUAGGGGAGAAGGAGAGUAAAGAAAUACACACAGGAUACCUGUAUCUGUAACACCCCCAUUAACAUCAACGAGGCUGAAGUGGAGUGGGUCGAGAGUUUCAAGUUCCUUGGUGUCCACAUCACCAACUGACUAUCAUGGUCCAAACACACCAAGAUCGAUGUGAAGAGGGCACGACAACACCUUUUCCACUCAGGAAACUGAAAAGAAUUGUGAUGGAUCCCCAGAUACUUCAAAAGUUCUACAGCUGCACCAUCGAGAGCAUCAUGACCGGUUGCAUUACCGCCUGGUAUGGCAACUGCUCAGCAUCUGACCGGAAGGCGCAGAGGAUAGUGCGUACGGCCCAGUACAUCACUGGGGCCAAGCUUCCUGACAUCCAGGACCUAUAUACUCGGUCAAAAAAUUGACUCAAAAAAUUGUCAAAGACUCAUGGACUGUUCAAUCUGCUACCGCAUGGCAAGCGGUACCGGAGCGCCAAGUCUAGUACCAAAAGGCUCCUUAACAGGUUCAACCCCCCCACUGCUGCUACUCGCUGUUUAUUAUCUAUGCACAGUCACUUUACAAAUGACCUUGAUUAACCUGUACCCCCGCACAUUGACUCGGUACUGGUACCCCCUGUAUAUAGCCUCGUUAUUGUUAUGUACAUUUCUUGUGUUACGUAUUGAUUGACUACGUGUUUUUACUUUAGUUUAUUUAGUAAAUAUUUGAUUAACUCUAUUUCUUGAACUGCAUUGUUGGUUAAGAGCUUGUAUGUAAGCAUUUCACAGUAAGGUUGUAUUCGGUGCAUGUGGGGUGACAGGUAGUAUAGUGGUUAGAGCGUUGGGCCAGUAACUGUAAAGGUUGCCGGAUCGAAUCCCCGAGCUGACAAUGUAAAGAUCUGUUGUUCUGCCUCCUGAACAAGGCAGUUAACCCACUGUUCCUAGGGCGUCAUUGUAAAUAAGAUUUUGUUCGUAACUGACUCGCCUUACAUUUGAUUUGAUUUCAAAUAGCCUAAUUACGCCAGCAAAAUUGGUAAGUGAAAUUAAUACCAAUUUUGCUGGCGUAAUUAGACUAUUUGAAAUCUGAUGUCAAAUCCAAUUUAAUUUGUCACAUUUAUUUUUUGUUUUUUAAAUGUUUUCAAGUACUGGUGACAAAUAAUUCAUUCCGAUUACUGCAUAGUCCAUGCUAGGUAAAGCUCCGCCUUAUCUCAGUUCACUGGUCACGAUGGCAACACCCAUCCAUAGCACGCGCUCCAGCAGGUGUAUCUCACUGAUCAUCCCUAAAGCCAACACCUCAUUUGGCCGCCUUUCGUUCCAGUUCUCUGCUGCCUGUGACUGGAACGAAUUGCAAAAAUCGCUGAAGUUGGAGACUUUUAUCUCCCUCACCAACUUCAAACAUCUGCUAUCUGAGCAGCUAACCGAUCGCUGCAGCUGUACAUAGUCUAUCGGUAAAUAGCCCACCCAUUUUUACCUACCUCAUCCCCAUACUGUUUUUAUUUAUUUACAUUUCUGCUCUUUUGCACACCAAUAUCUCUACCUGUACAUGACCAUCUGAUCAUUUAUCACUCCAGUGUUAAUCUGCAAAAUUGUAAUUAAUCGCCCACCUCCUCAUGCCUUUUGCACACAAUGUAUAUAGACUCCCUUUUUUUCUACUGUGUUAUUGAUUUGUUAAUUGUUUACUCCAUGUGUAACUCUGUGUUGUCUGUUCACACUGCUAUGCUUUAUCUUGGCCAGGUCGCAGUUGCAAAUGAGAACUUGUUCUCAACUAGCCUACCUGGUUAAAUAAAGGUGGGAAAAAAAAGAUUGUAAUGGACAGCUAUGAUGUGCGUAAAAUACUUAUUUGAAGGUUGUACUGAUUAUAAUAAGUUAAUGUCGAGCUAUUUUCCAGCUAUGUGUUGCGCCAUGUUUGUUGAUAAUAAACAACGCAUUCUGGGUGUCACGUAAA
This is a long non-coding RNA of Oncorhynchus nerka (sockeye salmon), 6346 nucleotides long. RefSeq lists it as uncharacterized. The record is from RefSeq and is a predicted model, not a curated record. The transcript has 2 exons. Lineage: Eukaryota; Metazoa; Chordata; Actinopteri; Salmoniformes; Salmonidae.